GAUGAACGCUAGCUACAGGCUUAACACAUGCAAGUCGAGGGGUAACGAGAGGAAAGCUUGCUUUCCUUGUCGACGACCGGCGCACGGGUGAGUAACGCGUAUCCAACCUGCCCCCAACUAGGGAAUAACCUUGCGAAAGUAAGACUAAUACCCUAUAAUUUCCUCAGAUGUCAUCUGACGAGGAAUAAAGAUUCAGCGGUUGUGGAUGGGGAUGCGUCUGAUUAGCUUGUUGGCGGGGUAACGGCCCACGAAGGCAACGAUCAGUAGGGGUUCUGAGAGGAAGGUCCCCCACAUUGGAACUGAGACACGGUCCAAACUCCUACGGGAGGCAGCAGUGGGGAAUAUUGGUCAAUGGGCGGAAGCCUGAACCAGCCAAGUAGCGUGCAGGAUGACGGCCCUAUGGGUUGUAAACUGCUUUUAUACAGGAAUAAAGUUAGCCACGUGUGGUUAUUUGUAGGUACUGUAUGAAUAAGGACCGGCUAAUUCCGUGCCAGCCGCCGCCGUAA
RNAcentral lists this ribosomal RNA (506 nucleotides) under uncultured bacterium. RNAcentral's name for it is "partial 16S ribosomal RNA". It matches the Rfam family "Bacterial small subunit ribosomal RNA", at positions 28 to 523 of the family's 1533-position model. The record is from RNAcentral.